UCAUCAGAAUGGUAAUGGGGUACGUGAGUAAUUAAAUAUUUUAAUUACUAUUUACAACAAAUUACUGUGGUAAUUAAUUAAAAUUUACUGUUGUUGUUGUUGUUGUUAUUGUUCAGCGUCUUAAUACAGAUUCUAUGUAGUUACGUCACUCUCCCUCUGUACGCACUUGUCACCCAGGUAAAUAAUCAAACUGUGAUUUAAAUUUAAUCACUUAAUUACUGAUGGGAUUUACUGUGGUAAAUCGGGAUCGAUGUUCUUCAGAUGGGAUCCAACAUGAAGCCAGUGAUCUUCAAUGAGAGAGUGGCGGCCGGUUUGAAGUACUGGCACAGCACGGCAAGGAAACAUAUAAAAGAGAAUCGAAAGUCGGGUUCGGUCACACCUCUAUCAAGCACACCGGCCACACCCGUAAGCGGUUACUCGCCGGUUCAUCUGUUAAAACACACCCGGAAUGGAUCCGACGGUUAUCUCGACAGCAUCAACACAUCACAGAGAGUUUACAGCAUAGGAGAGGGGGCGGCUCAUGGAGGC
Molecule: long non-coding RNA, 528 nt
Filed under: Zostera marina
Lineage: Eukaryota; Viridiplantae; Streptophyta; Magnoliopsida; Alismatales; Zosteraceae
Description: long non-coding RNA (ZMAR_LNC005914)
Source: RNAcentral